Molecule: unclassified non-coding RNA, 2248 nt
Filed under: Hevea brasiliensis (rubber tree)
Lineage: Eukaryota; Viridiplantae; Streptophyta; Magnoliopsida; Malpighiales; Euphorbiaceae
Source: RNAcentral
CGCCCUUUUUUCUUAUUCAUCAAACACAUAAUCAACAAUUUGAUAGAACUUUACAAUCCCAUUAGAAGGAGCAAGAUAUAUUAUGUUCCCCCCAAGACAAGACAACUAUAAAACAAGUUUCAACACUAUGCAAUUAGGGCCCUUGUAUGCAGCAUUGUUUCCCACUUUAAAUGUGCACCUAACAUGGGCUGAUGCAGUUUUUUUGGAGGAGGAAGGCUGGAAGCGGCCUCGCUUUAAAUUCUUAAUCUUUUUCAUAUUAAAAGAAAGUGACUCAGUGCAUAAAACAUCUCAUACUUAUGGACAGUAAGAAAAGUUGAUAUAUGUAGUUUUAUCCUCUCUGCACAGAAGCUGUUUUCAUUUGGAUUAUUAGCUUCCAAUGAUAACAUUAUCAACAAUGGAAGUUAGUUAACCUUGAAACUAAUUAACACAUUACAAAUACCCAAAAUAAUCUGUUAACCUGUAGUGUUUAUAAACAUGAAAAAUGAUGAAAAGAAAGAAAAUGGAGAAUCUCAAAGCCAAGCUUUUUUGUAGCUAGUUAGGAAAGAGUAAUAAUGGAAAAGUAAAGCAUUUUGACUCUUACUAUCUCAAUAAUAGAGAACUUUACAGUCCAAAGAGAGGCUCAACUGGAGGGAAAAGGAUAGUGUCAUUUUCUAUGCAAAUUCUUUCUUCUCUAUUUUAUUCUUUGGUUCUCCUCUUUGUCAGAGUCCUUAUCCAACCUUUCCUCACCUUGACUCCUUCAACCUUGGUUCCCACGUGGCACACAUUGUUUCCUCUGUUGGACCUCUUCCAUCUGAUGACUUGGAAUAGAUGGCCAAUCCGUUUUCUCCAUCUCAGAGAGCCACGCGGUUUUGCAUGCUCUAUCACACUCAUUGUCUCCUUAGCGUCUUUGGCUUGUUUGGCAUCCUUGUUUUCCUUGCUCAAAUCAUGGUUCCAGGACUUUGCGCAUUGCUCCAGAGUGACCUUAUUAGAGACAGUGCCCUUUUCCCAUGAGGCAGCUCCAUUCUCUUCAAACUUUAUUGAUAUGAAGGACUCUGCAAAAAAAUAAAAGCAUUCAAGCCUAGUGUGAGAUUAUGGGUUUCCAUUUUCAAAUCAUAAGGAAUUAAUGAAAGAAAUUAAAGUUGUCAACAUGUUUAAUUAAUUUUUUUAAUAAAACCAUCUGUUUGUAAGCAUAUUUUUCUCAUUUUCUUUUUUCAUCAACAUCUAUGAAUAAAAACAAAUAUGUAUAUGUGGAGACUCUGCACUAUUUACCAUAUAUUACAUGCUAAUUAAAGGAACAUGAUGAGCAAGAAACGACUUUAAAUUGACAACCAAAGGGUCCCCACUUCAGAUUUUAAAUUCUCUCUUUGCAUGACCAAAAUGCAUUAAUAUUAAUUAUACUUGCAUUUUAUGAGAUACUGAUAACCCAUGUAGGAAAUUAACAAUCCCCAAAUUGCUAGUUUGCUAAGUUGCAGUUUCUUAAUUAAUUAAAAAAUGAGAAUAGGAUUCUUUCAUCUCCAUCUGCCACCCUUACUUCUGUGGAAAGAAGCAUAAUUUUGACUCUACUUUUGUCGUUACACUGAUAUACAAGCAAUAAUUCAGCAUAUAGAGACAAUUUCACGUCAUAUUUCAGUUUUUCCCUUUUGUUUUAUGGAAUUUCAAGGACUGCAAAACUCUUGCAAAAUGGUACUACGAACUAUUAUAACAAGAAAACAACGACAUACAAGACAUGUGCAUACCUUCUGGACUGGUGGAGGCAUCAGAUUUAUCAGAGUUAUUAUCAGAUUUCCAAUGGCGAAAUUCAAGCCGAUUGAGAAGAGAACCCAAAGCAAAGAUCUUAGGAAGGCUGAUGGAAGGCUUCCUGGUUGGAGUAGUGAAGGCUUGAUGAGGUCUAGAUGAUGGAAGCUGGCCUUGCUUUGCAGCCAAUACAAGGAGCCUCUCAUUUAGGCAUAGAGGACAAACCCCUGUAACAACCUCUUUGGGAUGGAAAUAGCAGCAAGAAUUGUCUUCUCUAUAACCAUUCAUGGUUUAUAGUUCCAGAGAAAAUGAAAGAAGAGACUGAAUCUGGAAGGGGUGGACUUGUGGGAGGGAAAAAUUGUUGGCAGAAUGAAGAAAUGUAUAUGUAUAUAUGCUGCAGAGAUUUUUAUUUUAUUUUUUAUGUACUUCAUAAACAAAUGUAAGCGUAGAGAAUGGCCCACUAAUUUUUCAAUUUGGACAAUGUGAUGGGGAGGGUAGUGUUUUUGGUAUCCAUAUCUAGAGAAUUUGGUAUUUU